UCUCCUUUGAAAAAUUUGUAAAGGAAAAUGGGGAGUAAAGCAGGGAUUGUGAGGAAACCAAGAUUUCUCGGCUUCCAUGGAUUUAGAACAAGCAUAGCAAUUCUCAAGAAACAGAUAGAGAGAGCGAUCCGCCUUAUUACGAAUGGUUUCAGUUCAACAAGGUAAAAAUCAAAUGACAAUCGCUCGUU
Hibiscus syriacus is the source of this 188-nucleotide long non-coding RNA. RefSeq lists it as uncharacterized. NCBI's taxonomy places the organism in Eukaryota, Viridiplantae, Streptophyta, Magnoliopsida, Malvales, Malvaceae. The record is from RefSeq and is a predicted model, not a curated record. The transcript has 3 exons.